GGACGAACGCUGGCGGCGUGCUUACCCCAUGCAAGUCGAACGGAAAGGCCCUGCUUUUGUGGGGUGCUCGAGUGGCGAACGGGUGAGUAACACGUGAGUAACCUGCCCUUGACUUUGGGAUAACUUCAGGAAACUGGGGCUAAUACCGGAUAGGAGCUCCUGCUGCAUGGUGGGGGUUGGAAAGUUUCGGCGGUUGGGGAUGGACUCGCGGCUUAUCAGCUUGUUGGUGGGGUAGUGGCUUACCAAGGCUUUGACGGGUAGCCGGCCUGAGAGGGUGACCGGCCACAUUGGGACUGAGAUACGGCCCAGACUCCUACGGGAGGCAGCAGUGGGGAAUAUUGCACAAUGGGCGGAAGCCUGAUGCAGCAACGCCGCGUGCGGGAUGACGGCCUUCGGGUUGUAAACCGCUUUCGCCUGUGACGUAGCGUGAGUGACGGUAAUGGGUAAAGAAGCACCGGCUAACUACGUG
Molecule: ribosomal RNA, 469 nt
Filed under: uncultured bacterium
Lineage: Bacteria
Description: partial 16S ribosomal RNA
Rfam family: Bacterial small subunit ribosomal RNA
Source: RNAcentral